RNAcentral lists this long non-coding RNA (282 nucleotides) under Cyanistes caeruleus (blue tit). Its description in RNAcentral is "lncRNA (ENSCCEG00000006282.1)". Lineage: Eukaryota; Metazoa; Chordata; Aves; Passeriformes; Paridae. The record is from RNAcentral.
UGGUGGUUGUGUUCUUUGCUAUAUUAAAGUUUUCCUUAUAUUUAUUCCAGGCCAUUGCUGCUGGGCAGGAUGUGACAAGUGUGAUGGCUUGCAAGGCUAUGGUGUACACAGAAGAGUGAUUUCAUUCAAACAAGAAGUUGUUGCUAGGGGCUUGAGAGUGAACUGGACUCUGAAGAGGCACGCGGAGAGAGGCAGCAUCAGGAGAGGAUGACUGAUCCUGAAGUUUCGCCUUCUCUGAACUGGGAUAAUUAUGAAGUUAUAUCAGUUUGCCAUGGCUACAAG